GGUGUGUGUACAGUUUGAUUGACUCCCUUGGCGGGUACCUGUGAAAGCGAACACUACACUGUGAACCUUCAGACACCUGGUCAACAUGCGGGGACACCUUCUGAUUGUUGUGGUGGUUGUGGUGGUGGUGUGUCAGCUCACGAACUCCAUGGCGGAUACAGACACCAAAGACCAGAGCCUGUUGCAUCUGCUGACUAAGCGAGAAACCGUGUUUCCAAGGUUUCCACCUCCAUGGUGUGUGUGUGUCAGAGAGCCGUGCCCCUGCUACCCGCCACGCCCACGUGACCCGAUUCUGGAACCCACUUGGUAACUCCAUUGUAAAUCUGUCGGACAGGUGGAUGAUAAACAAACUCUCCAUCACUAGCAGCAUCAUGGUAUUCUCUCAUUACUGCAAAUGACAGAGUGGAAACGACUGCCUUCACCUGACUUGUCUGCCAGCAAAAAUAAAGAAUUAGACUCGCUGUUUGUUUUGAAGUGUUGCCAUGGAGUCAGUGAACUCUACUCACUGAUUGUGCUCCUUCGCUGUGUUGCCAGUAUAAUUCAGUCCUCAAUCCUUUCAUUUACAUUCAUUUCUAUUCUUUUAGUUUUGUGUAAACUUAAAAUAGAAGAAGGUCUGCAUUCUGACCAUGUUGUUAGCAAUAAUAAAAAUACCGUUAUGUAUGUAAAUAAACAAGUAAACAAUGAACUGACAGCAACUGAUUUGACCUGAAGAUUAAAGUAAACACAAUAUAAAGGUGGAUUGAGAAUCUGUUAUAUUUCACUUCGUCAGUAAAACUGCGAAUGAAAGAAUAGAUGAGAGACUGAACAGAAGAAAAAAAGAAAGUCGAUAAAUGAAAAAAAAAAUAAAAAAAAGAACGUU
This is a long non-coding RNA of Pomacea canaliculata, 859 nucleotides long. RefSeq lists it as uncharacterized. The transcript is spliced from 2 exons. Lineage: Eukaryota; Metazoa; Mollusca; Gastropoda; Architaenioglossa; Ampullariidae. The record is from RefSeq and is a predicted model, not a curated record.